CCUACGGGAGGCAGCAGUUAGGAAUCUUGCACAAUGGGGGAAACCCUGAUGCAGCGACGCCGCGUGAAGGAUGAAGGUUCUCGGAUCGUAAACUUCUUUUAAGAGGGAAGAAAUUUGACGGUACCUCUUGAAUAAGCCCCGGCCAACUACGUGCCAGCAGCCGCGGUAAUACGUAGGGGGCGAGCCGUUGUCCGAAGUUACUGGGCGUAAAGCGCGCGUAGGCGGKUUCUUAAGUCUGSGGUGAAAGGUUCAACGCUCAACGUGAACAGUGCCUUGGAUACUGGGAGACUUGAGUUAGGGAGAGGGUCGUAGAAUUCCUGGUGUAGCGGUGAAAUGCGUAGAUAUCAGGAGGAAUACCAAUGGCRAAGGCAGCUACCUGGCCUAUAACUGACGCUGAGGUGCGAAAGCGUGGGGAGCAAACGGGAUUAGAUACCCCGGUAGUCCACGCCCUAAACGAUGAGUGCUAGAUGUAAGAGGUAUCGACCCCUCUUGUGUCGUCGCUAACGCAUUAAGCACUCCGCCUGGGGAGUACGGCCGCAAGGUUGAAACUCAAAGGAAUUGACGG
This 565-nucleotide ribosomal RNA is filed under the name uncultured bacterium. RNAcentral's name for it is "bacterial SSU rRNA". It matches the Rfam family "Bacterial small subunit ribosomal RNA", at positions 338 to 916 of the family's 1533-position model. The record is from RNAcentral.